This 928-nucleotide long non-coding RNA is filed under the name Portunus trituberculatus (swimming crab). RNAcentral describes it as "uncharacterized LOC123500469, transcript variant X1". Lineage: Eukaryota; Metazoa; Arthropoda; Malacostraca; Decapoda; Portunidae. The record is from RNAcentral.
GGGGUGGGGGAGGGAUAUCAUAGGUGAGGAGAAGAAACCGGCAGGUCAGCGCGUCGUAGUCUGCAGGAUAGCAAGGAAGAUGUUGGAGGUGUUGUUCAUGCAGGCUGGCCGGAUGAACGACGGGACUGCUUGUUAUGGUGGGUAGCGCCGCGACUCGUCUGUCUCCGCCAGCGCCAAACAGCUGUACCAGAGGAGUCGGAUGAUGGACUGACCGGCUAACUGCUUGUUUGACGCGUGUGAGGCAGCGGUAACUACGUAGGUCAAGCAAGCACGCCUCCACUACCUAUGGUCUCCUCAAACCUGUCGUCACCAAGCAGCGGAGCUGUGACACGUGUCAGUGGUGAUGGAGUCUGCAUGCAAGGGCCCUUCAAGCACUGCGGCUGAUCGCCUCUAGUCUGCCGGCGCUGAGCAGGAUGUUUGCCGGAGACGAGUGACAGAUGGCGCUGAUGUGUCAAGCCUGACGCAACAGACCGUACUGGUGGCUGCCUUGUCUGGCAGCGCCACGCAGCGACGAGGAGGGUGAUGGAUGGGUGUUCGAAGUUGGUGGACUCCUGUAUUUGAUCGUUCGUUGGUUCCUGGUCCGCUGGCUUCUUACCUCACCUGCUGUUGCUGGCGCCGCCUGCUCAAAACUUCCCUUCGUCACCUGCGCCAGAGUAGCGGCCGAGGACGCUAUAACUUGUUAUACGUACUGUAUACGUACCCAGAGCGGCGCCUCCCCAUUCCUUGGCGUGGGUGAGGCGCCUUCCGACCCUCCACUCAGGGAUCAGUAGUGUUGCUGGUUAAUGAAUAACAUCAUGGUUUUAGGAGUUCGGGAGAUAUUUCACUUUUUUUUUUUUUUUUUCGCUGGGAAUUCGAAAUAUCGGAAUUCGAAAUACCGUUUCUCCGAACGCUCUUCGUUAUUAUUGUAAACCGUGUAAAUAAUAAUAAA